UACAGAGACCUCAAGCGUUAUCCGGAAUCAUUGGGCGUAAAGCGUACCGAUAGGUGGUUUUACAAGUCAGAAGUGAAAUCUCAAGGCUCAACCUUGAGACUGUCUUUUGAAACUGUAAAACUAGAGGAGCAAAGAGGAAGCUGGAACCAGCGGUGUAGUAGUGAAAUGCGUUGAUAUCGCUGGGAACACCAAUAGCGUAGGCAGGCUUCUGGGUGCUACCUGACACUGCUAGGACGAAAGCGUGGGGAGCGAAUGGG
Molecule: ribosomal RNA, 257 nt
Filed under: uncultured bacterium
Lineage: Bacteria
Description: partial 16S ribosomal RNA
Rfam family: Bacterial small subunit ribosomal RNA
Source: RNAcentral